AUCAAAGAGAAGGUCUGAGACGGUGGUCGUCGGCAGUAUGAAAUGCCACCUGUUGUACAACUGAUUCUCUAACCGAAAUUUCAGCUAGCUUACACCAUUCUUUCAUUCUUCUGUACUGAAGUUUGUGUUAUGGUGAAGCAAUUUCCAAAGCCUAAGAGAGUCAUCAAUCAACUAAUUACGCCCUUCUUGGAGCCUAAUCAGAAUUGUGGUUUCCAGGUGUAGAGUGUCUUAUGUCUUACACAGGAGGGCUUGGGCAACUCCUCUCCAAAUGGCCACAAGUGUUUACAGUGACCGGACAAAGGAAGACUCAGAAACAAGCAGAAGAAAAUGCUCAUCUGAUGGCCUGUGUUGUCUACAGGGUUUGGUGUGUUUGUCACAAUGUAGUUUGGUACUUAGUUCAGACAUGUAUUUGAAACUUCCACUAACCUAGACUAAAGAUUCUUAAGUAUAGGAUGAAGUUCAUUAUGAACAAAAUUCUUCUCAAAGCAGUUUGUAGCAGCAUUAAAGCUUUACUUAGAAUUAUACUUGUAGCAAAGCCAUUUGGCUCCUUUUAUGAUGACCAGAAUCAGUAGAUGGUAAUUUGCUUUUAAGAUUCUUUUUAUAUAGUGUAAAGAAGACAAAUUCAAUGGUAAUGGUUCAGCAAUUGAGAAGAGAGACUAAGAUUCUUGGAUGUGAGUUUUCUUACUACAUAUACCUGGUGUGUACCUAUACUUAUUGAAUGAAGUUCAGUGUAUAUUCAGUUCCUCCUGACAUAGCUUUCAGUAUCUAGGAGUUCUCUCCAAUGGGAAAGUUGAAGAUACACAGAGCAUUGAUGCCAUCUGUUGACAGCAAUACCUGUUACCACACCUGGAGCAAACAAGCUCCCAUUACAGUCCAUUUUCCAGUUUGCGAGCACCUGUGAAGUGCUCUGUGAAGAUGGUGUGAGAAGAUAGUUCUCCAUGUUACACAUUUCCCAUUCCUUCAACCUUACAGCACUUGGGAAAGGACUGUCACAAGAUGCUGCACAUCACAUUGCCUUUCUUAAUGCCUGUAUGAAGCUUAAGGUAAUGGGUUGCCUUUCUUCUCACAAUUCUUUUGACAUGGUCAAAAUAAAGAGUAGGUAUGAAACUGAGCUUUACAUUUGGGUUCCUCCUCCAGAUUAUGCCCUCUUUGUGGACGCCUCCAGGGUUGGGUAUGGAGCCCUUCUCACCCCAACUUCUGGUAGCAGCAGUCACAAAGCUCAGUGGAUUUCAGACACCUGGCCAUGUAUACUUGGAAAACACACAUUUUUGAACAAAAACGGUUGGAUCUGGUCAAACGACUAGCAGGUUGUGCAUCUUGUGAAUGAAGGAGAUGGUGCCAGGAAGAGGGCUAGUGGAGGCAACUGUGGCAAAAUACUACAAGUUCUAAGGCAAACUUGUGAGAAACGCAACAUCAGUGUUUGUGCUCAGCAUUUGAGUCGUCUGGACAAGGUGGCGACGGAUAUUCUGUCCAAACUGGACCUGGAGAAGUUCAGAGCUGUUGUGGCAGAUGCUGCCACCAAACCAAAGAAAACAAAGAAGCUGUUGUAACAAAUCGACAGCUAACAAGGAGCGUGAUGACUUAUUUUAUUCUUUAUUUUUUUGCUAUUCAUGCUGAAUCCUGCCAUAAUAUUCUGUAAUCCAGGAUUUGAAGUCUUUCAUAAUUUUCAUGCAAACAUGAUGUAGAUGUGAAUAUACUUUUUUGGUUCAUUCGUGCCAAGUAUAUGUGGAAAAUUAUAGCAGUCUUUAAGCAAUUUAGCUUUGUAUGUGUUCGACAUAUUUCAGGGUCCCAUUUCCACCAGCUGCAAAUACUUCAUAACCACUUCAAGUAUUACAAAAUAGGGAGGGUGGAUGGGAGAGUACAAAUAGGUGUAUUGCAAUAUUUUCUGAGAGUUUUUCGUUUGAAGGAGAUGCUGAAACCUUGAAACAUGUUGUUCUAGCUUGGAGUAUUAAAAUCAUUCUUUUUGAACUAUGCUUUUAAAUGUUUUUCUGAAAAACUGCAAAUCACACCUGUUUGAAAUACGGCAACACAAUUCUCUCAGAUAUUAUAUUUAAAUGUUUUGAAGAUGUUUGUUCUAGGUCAUGUAGCCAUGUUGGAUUUCGAUCACAUCCUUUAAGGAUUUUCUCCAAAACCAAUGGAUGAAUCUUUCUGAAAUCUGAUACGCAUGUGCAUCUUUGCUAGUUACUUAAAAGGAUGAAGAAAAACAUCAAAAAUCUGUUAAACUUUAGAAGCUUGUCACUGGUCAAGUAUGUGAUAUUAUUACAUUAAUCCAGAAUGACCAAUGGAAAUGAUUGUAACAUCUUAAGCCAGGAUAUGUUGUGAAGUUACUGUCAAUAAACAAUGCAAUGCAAAU
Long non-coding RNA from Liolophura sinensis, 2353 nucleotides. RefSeq lists it as uncharacterized. The transcript has 3 exons. The record is from RefSeq and is a predicted model, not a curated record. NCBI's taxonomy places the organism in Eukaryota, Metazoa, Mollusca, Polyplacophora, Chitonida, Chitonidae.